Molecule: ribosomal RNA, 521 nt
Filed under: uncultured Burkholderia sp.
Lineage: Bacteria; Pseudomonadati; Pseudomonadota; Betaproteobacteria; Burkholderiales; Burkholderiaceae
Description: bacterial SSU rRNA
Rfam family: Bacterial small subunit ribosomal RNA
Source: RNAcentral
GGAACAUGUCCUGUAGUGGGGGAUAGCCCGGCGAAAGCCGGAUUAAUACCGCAUACGAUCUGAGGAUGAAAGCGGGGGACCUUCGGGCCUCGCGCUAUAGGGUUGGCCGAUGGCUGAUUAGCUAGUUGGUGGGGUAAAGGCCUACCAAGGCGACGAUCAGUAGCUGGUCUGAGAGGACGACCAGCCACACUGGGACUGAGACACGGCCCAGACUCCUACGGGAGGCAGCAGUGGGGAAUUUUGGACAAUGGGCGAAAGCCUGAUCCAGCAAUGCCGCGUGUGUGAAGAANGNCUUCGGGUUGUAAAGCACUUUUGUCCGGAAAGAAAUCCUUGGNUCUAAUAUAGCCGGGGGAUGACGGUACCGGAAGAAUAAGCACCGGCUAACUACGUGCCAGCAGCCGCGGUAAUACGUANGGUGCAAGCGUUAAUCGGAAUUACUGGGCGUAAAGCGUGCGCANGCGGNUUGCUAAGACCGAUGUGAAAUCCCCGGGCUCAACCUGGGAACUGCAUUGGUGACUGGC